This 659-nucleotide ribosomal RNA is filed under the name uncultured Gemmatimonadota bacterium. RNAcentral describes it as "SSU rRNA". It matches the Rfam family "Bacterial small subunit ribosomal RNA", at positions 257 to 915 of the family's 1533-position model. Lineage: Bacteria; Pseudomonadati; Gemmatimonadota. The record is from RNAcentral.
GUAACGGCUCACCAAGGCAACGACGAGUAGCUGGUCUGAGAGGAUGGCCAGCCACAUUGGGACUGAGAUACGGCCCAGACUCCUACGGGAGGCAGCAGUGGGGAAUCUUGCGCAAUGGCCUAACGGCUGACGCAGCGACGCCGCGUGUGGGAUGAAGCUCCUCGGAGUGUAAACCACUGUUGCCCGGGACGAAUAGCUCGAUUAAUCGAGCCUGACGGUACCGGGUGAGGAAGCACCGGCUAACUCCGUGCCAGCAGCCGCGGUAAUACGGGGGGUGCGAGCGUUGUCCGGAAUCACUGGGCGUAAAGGGCGCGUAGGUGGUUUGAUAAGGGUGUGGUGAAAGUCCGGGGCUCAACCCCGGAUCUGCCGUGCCGACUGUCAAACUCGAGGGCUGUAGAGGCAGACGGAAUUCCGGGUGUAGCGGUGGAAUGCGUAGAGAUCCGGAGGAAGACCGGUGGCGAAGGCGGUCUGCUGGGCAGUUUCUGACACUGAUGCGCGACAGCGUGGGGAGCAAACAGGAUUAGAUACCCUGGUAGUCCACGCCGUAAACGAUGGGUACUAGGUGCCUGGGGGAGCGACCCUCUGGGUGCCGGCGCUAACGCAGGAAGUACCCCGCCUGGGGAGUACGACCGCAAGGUUGAAACUCAAAGGAAUUGACG